AGUGAACGCUGGCGGUAGGCCUAACACAUGCAAGUCGAACGGCAGCACAGUAAGAGCUUGCUCUUACGGGUGGCGAGUGGCGGACGGGUGAGGAAUACAUCGGAAUCUACUUUUUCGUGGGGGAUAACGUAGGGAAACUUACGCUAAUACCGCAUACGACCUACGGGUGAAAGCAGGGGAUCUUCGGACCUUGCGCGAUUGAAUGAGCCGAUGUCGGAUUAGCUAGUUGGCGGGGUAAAGGCCCACCAAGGCGACGAUCCGUAGCUGGUCUGAGAGGAUGGUCAGCCACACUGGAAGUGGAACGCGGUCCCGGCGCCUACGGGAGGGAGCAGUGGGGAAUAUUGGGCAAUGGGCGGAAACCUGGUCCAGCCAUACCGCGUGGGUGAAGGAGGCCUUCGGGGUGUAAAGCCCUUUUGUUGGGAAAGAAAAGCAGCAGGUUAAUACCCCGCUGUUCUGACGGUACCCAAAGAAUAAGCACCGGCUAACUUCGUG
RNAcentral lists this ribosomal RNA (492 nucleotides) under uncultured bacterium. RNAcentral describes it as "partial 16S ribosomal RNA". It matches the Rfam family "Bacterial small subunit ribosomal RNA", at positions 29 to 507 of the family's 1533-position model. The record is from RNAcentral.